AAUUUGUGGCUGGCUCUAACCACCAGCCCCUGCUGUCAAGGAGGAGGGGCUCCCACAGGGAGCGGGAGAGAGGUUAGAGGCAGACUCUUCUCAGAGGGGCCCAGAAAAGGACUGAAAGGCAGUGGGCAGAAGUUGAGACGGGGAAAUCCUGCUGGGGCAGGGGCACAAACCCUUUGCCAGAGGCGUGAGGCAGCCCUGGGACAGGGUCUGGGACCAGGGGGUGGUUCUGCAUCUGGGGACACUGCCCUGGCCCAGAGCUUGAGCAAAGUGGUUUAAUAUUGAAGAUAGAUCUAAAAUGGAAGUUUGACUGGAAACUCCUGAGGUUCCUCCCCAAAAACCAAAAUGUAGCUCUGAUCCCACAAAAGGGAGUGGUGGAGAUAGAUUAAGUUGCAGUGAUAAGCCAAGGUGGAGACUUGUGAUACCAGGAAGGCCAUGGGCUGGGUCAGGAUAUCAGGGCUGGCUCAGGCAGGGAUGAUGUGGCAAAAUCUAGCUGUGCUCUAUAAAUCCAGCCCCAGUCUUACCAUCAUGCACAGUCUUAGUCUGAAGGACAGAGUACCCUGUUGCAAAGAAGAAGCCAUGGAGAGACGGAUCUGUGUUGCAUUCCUGGCCAUUUGUCUCCUGCUGCUGGGAGGCACUAAGGCAGCUUCCCUGAACUCACACAGCUUUAAUGGGAAUAUAGCCGGGGAUGGCAGCUUCAACGACAAUGGGAAUGGCUUCGAGUCCCCAGCCAUCUAUGAACCUCUGGGUGCCUCAGGCAACCAUGAGAGCUUCGACUGGAACAGGGUCGGCCACAACAGCUUCAAUGACAACGGGAAUGGCUUCUAGUCAUCUAU
This is a long non-coding RNA of Apteryx owenii (little spotted kiwi), 833 nucleotides long. NCBI's taxonomy places the organism in Eukaryota, Metazoa, Chordata, Aves, Apterygiformes, Apterygidae. The record is from Ensembl.